Molecule: long non-coding RNA, 2090 nt
Organism: Equus caballus (horse)
Lineage: Eukaryota; Metazoa; Chordata; Mammalia; Perissodactyla; Equidae
Source: Ensembl
CUUCUAAGGCCCUCCCGGGUUAUAAUCCUCACUGUGGCUCAUAAUAAACUCACCCCAGUUUUAAUUUGUAGGUUGGUUAUGGAUUAUUUGCGUCAACAUUUCUUGGCAUAGUGGCAGCAGGAUUUCAGAGAAACCCACCAGAGACCGCCUAGGCUCUACACUGAACCAGCAUUCGGUACCAAUAGGGGCCCAUUGAGCCCCCCCGGAUCAUUGCAUUCUUCAGGUGACUCUGGAAUUGUUCAGACUUUACAGCAAAGGAAAACUAAAAGAAAAGCAGGAAAUUAAGCUUCUAAAAGCCAACCAGUUCCCGAAUGGGCAGCCUCAUCUCUCACCUUCAGCUGACUUCAUGCUGUGACUUGCAAGUGCUUAACGAAAUAAUGAUAGCUGUUAAUGGCUGAGCUCCCAGACCUUAAGGAUCAUGGACUAUAACCUGGAGAAUUUAUCAAAAGAGGCAUCAAAUAAAAGACUCUUUGCAGCCUGUUGAAAAAGACCGUACCAAGAUGAGAAGAAGACGGCAUCUGUUGUAGGCAGCUGUCCCAAGACUCUGGACCAGGCCUGUAUUCCCAACCUUGUGUCUCCACAUUUUUUGUGUGCUUAAACUGUAUACCUAUUUUAUAAUUGUUCCAGUUAAGGUUUCAAAACACUACAUACUUAAAGAAAGUGACUAAUUUGGAACAGACUGGUCUUGAAGGCCGAGCAUUUAUCAGGUGGCUCCUAAUGGAACUCAAUGGUUAUGUGGAACAAAUCUCUGGCCUUGGCUACUGCCUGGAUGGCUAAAACACUGCACCCUGAGUUCCCCUUGGAAGCAUGGAAGGAUUCAGACUGAGCUAGCAUCUGUUGCCAAUCUCCCUCUCUUUAAGCCCAGAUGAGCUCAUUCAGUGUUCCACUGGUAUGACCACCAAGAAGCUAGCUUUAGCUGUUCCUCCUUUGGGGCUAGAGGAUGUCACAGCACACAGAGAAGCCCUUAACAGUAGUCAAGCAGGAAUAGCCUUGUUGGAUACUGAAAUGUCUUUAAUGAGAAAGGCCGUCCUUCAAAAUAGAAAGGCCUUAGAUAUUCUUACAGCAUCCCAAGGUGGUACAUGUAAGUCAUUCAAACUGAAUGUGUGUUUUUAUACCUGAGGAAUCUUCCAAUGUGUCAUUUCUGCUAAAGCACAAAAAGAAAAGCAGGUGAAUGCCUUAAGCAAUCUUAUAUCUGCUCUUGAUUUGUUUAGUUGGCUCCCUUCCAGUAUUGGCUUGUAGAUUGCAAUUCCUAUUUCUAUUACUCCUUGGAAUUCUUGUAUUGGUCAUAAUAUUCAAACUAAUUACUGCGUUCUCAGCAUUGUAUGAUUGGCAUGCAAGCUAGAGUAAUGAUUGCUGAGCCAACUUGAGACAGCUGAUGGAUCCUACAGCCCUGAAUGAAUCCCCUCUUAUUAAGGCUACGCCUAAGAAUUCAUUUUUAAGCCAAUCAUUUCAAGUAUUGGAUUACCUAUUCUAUGAUCAUUAUAAACAACGUAACUAUAAGAAGUCAUGUAAAAGCACAUAUGCAAUGUUUGUGUGAUAAUCUAAAAAUAAUUGACAAGUUACAUAGCCUAAGAAACACUUCCCCUGUUAAUAUAUAUCUCUAUGCUUGUCCGCUAUAUCUGACUAUCUCCCCCCAACAUGGAUAACUGGGCAAAUCAAUGAAAUAAAAGCCUAGCACCAAGGGACAUGAUGGACCCAGGGCAGGCAGCAAUCACUCUGGCACCAAGGGAUGAUAUUUUGAUCAGCAAUGCUUUCUACUGAAAGAUUAUUGAUCAAAAGGGGAAAAUGACAAGAGAUUUUCACAUAUUGAGGUAUAUGGGGUAACUAUUCAAGUUUAAAACUCAUUCAGCUUGAACUAGAAAGCCUGACUUAUGGCCCAUCAAACAUACAUUGUUCAUCUGCUUAUCCAUUAAAGUAAGGAAUCUCUCUUGAGAUAAAGAAUGCAGACUUCCCCUCCGAUGCCCUAUUGGUAACAACACCCUAUUGGUAACAACAUCCUAUUGGUAAUGCCCGGAUUAGUCCCUUUCCUGGCAUCAUGAUCAUGUUGACCUGCUAAUUUGCAACUGAAUACCUCUUUGAAAUGUAUCCAG